RNAcentral lists this ribosomal RNA (274 nucleotides) under uncultured bacterium. RNAcentral describes it as "partial 16S ribosomal RNA". It matches the Rfam family "Bacterial small subunit ribosomal RNA", at positions 80 to 354 of the family's 1533-position model. The record is from RNAcentral.
UUUCUCCGCCGGCGACCGGCGCACGGGUGAGUAACACGUAUGCAACCUGCCCCUGUCAGGGGGCAACCCGCCGAAAGGCGGGCUAAACCCGCGUACAUGCCACCGGGGCAUCCCGGAGGCAGGAAAGGCUUCGGCCGGACAGGGAUGGGCAUGCGGCGCAUUAGGCAGUAGGCGGGGUAACGGCCCACCUAACCGACGAUGCGUAGGGGUUCUGAGAGGAAGGUCCCCCACACUGGUACUGAGACACGGACCAGACUCCUACGGAAGGCAGCAG